Molecule: long non-coding RNA, 1002 nt
Organism: Onychostoma macrolepis
Lineage: Eukaryota; Metazoa; Chordata; Actinopteri; Cypriniformes; Cyprinidae
Exons: 4
Source: RefSeq, a predicted model, not a curated record
AGAGCAAGCUUAGAAUAGAUACGCUCUCAUCCACAUGAAAUAUUGAACGAGGGAGCAAGAAAACAAGAGAGAGGAAAGGAAAAUGGAGAGAAUGAUAGAGAUAAAUACAAUCGUUAUUUGUUUAGUGCGCGCUGAGGGAGAGUGCGAGAUGGAGGGAGGGAGCGAACGAGAAGAAGGGAAGGAGACCACUUUGGAAAAGAUGGAUGAACGAGAGAGUCUUGCCGGCAGCAGUGGAAUGAAGGCCGUGUGGUGAGGGCAGGCUUUCCGAGAACGAAAGAGAGAGAAACAUUUGUUUGGAUUCUGAUGACUGAUAUAUGUGGAUGAAUGGCUUCUGCUCAAGUUCGGCAUGUUACCAACAGAGAGCCAAAGGCGAAAAUUUCAGAGACACGUCAUUUAAUACAUUAUUCAUUUAUAAUCCCUGGCUUCCUCUCACAAAUCCCAAAUAGGCAUGUUAGAGAGCUUAAGAAAUUUAUAUCCACAUGACCAACAAUGAAAAAGGCCUUUUUGAAUUUACUACUUUUUUAAGUGUCAGUCUCUGUUUGGUAAGACACCUGGACAAUUCAUCUCAUUGUUCUUUAAAGCUCUGUCAGACAGCACAGAGGUCUCUUGCGCACAGCCGUCUCUGCCAAAGGGAGGAACCCCCAGCAUGCUUGACAGUCGGGAUCAUAUUUGUUUGGAAUGAGCUGUGUUGGUUUGGCAAAUAUUUAUUUUGGAUUUUCUGCCAUGAUUUUUGGAUGUUGUGUCUCUUUGCAAAAUUUCUAUGAGCUUGGAUGUUAUUUGUUGAAAGAAAUAGUUUCCGUCCUAAAUUCCUACCCUAAAACUUAGACUUAGUGAAUAUGUAGGGAGUGUCCAGCCACGGCCAUAAAUUUUUACAGCUUCUUUAAGGUUCCUGUUGGCCUUGCUAACAAGCCUUCUCCUUGCCAAGUCAUCAGUUUUGUAAGAGCAUCCUGAUCUGUGCAAUGCCAUGGUUUUCCAUGUUGUCUCCACACUUACGGUCUUCAC